AAUUAAUUAAAACCCUAAAAAAAUAGCCAUCUUCCUUGUACCCCUUUUACGAUCCACUGUGUCUCUACCUGCCGGAAAUUGUGUCAGCUGGCGGAAGAGCUCCAAGCGACCAAAAUUUUGCCAAUAUUUUUGCAGAAACUCCCCUUCCCCUCCUCUUUCCAACCCCCAACUUAGUUUUUCUCGAAUCCCAUCCAAUCGGUUUGAAUCUCCGAUCGAACGUUUCCGGGCAAAAUUCCACCAUUCCCAAAUUCCACCAAAUUAACACCAUAGACUCUCCUUAACUCUCUCAUACCAAGUACCCAAGCCAUAUUCUUCAAAUCUCAUCGGAAUUGUUCGAAUAUUAAAUCAAUGUUUUCCGGAGAAAACCUAAGUUCUCUAAAUAUUAUCAAAUUGGUAAUCCAUGAUCUCCCCAUCCUCCUCAUGUAGAAUCCAUCAGUGGCAAGGGUCAUACAUCAUCAAAAUUGGUCGAUUUUAUUUAAAAAAAAAUAUGUUGAGCCGUGCCAGUGAGUUUUCCUUCUCAAUUUUAUUAUUCUUGUUUUUUAAUUUUGUUUAUUAUUAGUUGGGUUCACGCUAUUAAUUAUGUUACUUUUAAUUUCUAUAUGAUUCUGAUUUUGUUUUAGUCUGGUUCAAUCCUAAUCUAAUUGUUGUUCUAUUAGAAUAAGUGUCUGGGCUAAUUCAUGAUUUUAGUAAUUAUUUUCUGCAUUGUUAUCAUAAUUGUUUCAAUUUCUUAUUAAAUUGUUUCUUACUGAUUUUUCUCUAGUUCAGUAUCGUUUUGAUUGUGAUUGGUGGUUUGUGUUGGUUUUUAGCAUAGUGUUAUGUUGAUUAUUGUUUGUUAAUUGAUAGAAUAAUAAGAGUUUGGAUAGUGAUUACAUUGUUACUGCUACAAUUCAUAUUUUUGUUAGUUAAUCAUGGAUUAAUCAGGGUUGGGAGUAUGUUAGUGAUUUGAGGAAUAAAGCAGGGGUGAUUAGGAUAAUUCAAGGGUAGAGGAUCUUUUAAUAAUGAACUAGAAUUCUCUGGAAUCCUAUAGAGUGGGUUGAAAUUGGAAUCUUAGGAAAACAUAGUGGGCUUACUUGUGUAAAAAGUUUAAAAAUAAAGGAUCAAGGCUGAAAAUGAUAAGGACUAACAAAGAAAAAUUGAAAUUCUGAUAGGCCUUACUUGUGCCUAUAAAAGGGCAUGAUCUUUACUUCAUUCACAAGUUUUUCAACUUCACCGUUCCCCCCAGAAACACUUCCCUUCAGAUCUAGUUUAGAUUUUGAAUUUCAAAUUACUAGUAAUUUAUAAUUCUCUUUAGAUCUGAAAUUUUCGAGUGGGUUUUGGUAGUAUCAAGCUAGAAUUUGGCUGUUUUCACUGGUUUUUUCUUCUAUUAUUCAUUGCUAGUAGCUGUGGUAUUUUGAGUUAUAAUUUGGAUAAGUUCUCUGGAUUUCAACUAUUGCUCGACUGUUUUUCCCUGGUGACUUCUUCUUUUCUUAUUUCAUUUCAAAUCCAAGUAUAUCUCAUGCUCAAAUGAUGUUGAAGAGUACCCUUACCUGUAGAAAACUAGUUUGAAGUAUGAAUGAAAAAGAAAUGCAUGUUUAUAUCUGAAUUUUCACUUUUAUUUGCCUAGUUUUAAACUCCGUGUGAUGAUUCAUUUGAGCCAGAGUUUCAGUUGUAUUAAUGAACAAACAUGUAUUAAUGUUAUAUAGGACUGUUCAUAUUGAUUAGGUUUGUUUGAGCUUAUUGAAUUGAGAAGCGGCUUAAUGCUAGGUUUAUAAUGUAGCUCAUAUUGCUUUAGUUAAUGUUUGUUAGUUAUUUUGUGUAUCUGUUAAUUGGCUCAUGUUAAUUAAACCAUAGAAUCUCUGGUAGUUGUUUCUAUUUUAAUCAAUAGCCUAACUGCUUGUGGAGAUGCUUUAGACCGUGCAAAACUUCAAUAAGAGGAAGUGUUUGGCUCAGUGACAGUAAAUCUGUUUAAGUUUCCAUGUUUAAUUAGGUAAUGGACAUCGUAUGUCCAUACUUCAUAUUAAGCACUCAUGAAUAUGUUGGUUUAGGUUUUGGAUUUAAAGUGAAAUCUCAUCAAAUUGGUUUAAAAGUAACUUUCUAAAGAUUGACAUUCCAUGCUUAGUGUAAGGCAUUAUUUCAAUUUGAACCUCGUCGUAGGCCCAAUGCAAACAGUCGGGCUUGUUGGCCUUUUAAUUCCACCAUUUCAAGGCCCAGACAACCAUACUCAACCAUACGGCUGAAAUACCCUUACCAACACCCUUGGUCCUGGACCCUUCGCCACGGGCCCAAAUUAUCUCAUCUCUUUGUAUGUGUGAUCGAGGCUGCUUUGGACAACCGUUGAAAAUACAUUGUUUUGCCGACUAGAUUGUUAGGCCUAAUUUAUUCGAACUCGAUUUACAUGAACUUAGCCUUUUCAAAUAUAUUAAUUAUACAGGAUUUCUUUUUUGUUAUAUUUUAGAGACAAUUUAGUAGAAAAUAUAGUUCACUUUAGAAUGUCCUUAAAUCAAAUGAGACGAGCCUCUCCAAGUAAAACAAAUAAAUUGCGGGGCCCUCAAUAAAUGGUUAUAAUAAAAUACUUAGAAUUCGAGAUGAGCCGUUUAGCGAAUUACACGGCUGUUCCCCGAAAAUAAUAACACGCUAGUCACUUUGGGCGCUAUUUAAUAAAUUACCUUCUUAAACUCGGGUGCGCAUUUAUGUGACCCAAAUCCAAAUCUCAAUGGAGUUGAAAUGUAUCGACAACCAUGGGUGCAUUGAUAUGACGUAGUUCGAGACACGUUUUCACGACUUUGCAAUUCUCAUUAAAGUAAUAAUGAUAAAAUCAGUUCAAAAUUAAAAAUGGCACAUAAGCUAAAAUAUGUUUUUAAAUCAGAUAAAUUCAAAUACAACAGUUGAGCGACCGUGCCAGAACCACGGAAACGGGAAUGCCUAACACCUUCUCCAGGGUAAACAUAAUUUCUUACUCAGAUUUCUGGUUCGCAGACUGUUAACAGAGUCAUAUUUUCCUCGGUUCGGGAUUAUACCGGUGACAUGGGACACCAUUAAUCUCCUAAGUGGUGACUCUGAAUUUCAAUGAUUAAAUCUUAUUCCGAAUGUCCUUUAAGUGGAAAAACUCUUUUAUGCCCCUGCAGGUGUAGUGAAAAAAGAGGUGUGACAGUUCUGGCGACUCUUCUGGGCAAUUAAAACCCAGAACUUCGGUUCAGGGUUUACGAAUUUGAGCUUAGAAUAAUUAUUAUAUUUGGGUAUAUCUGAUUUUCCUACAUGGUUCAUGCUAUAUGUUUUAAAUGUUUACCGUUUUGAUAUUUUUUGAAUUGUAUGUAAAUUGUGCUGAAACCUUCUCUUCUCACCUCCGGGGAUGUGCUUGCUGAUUGAGACUCCCUAUUCUGUUAGUGUCAUACCCAAAAAUAUGAAAUAGGCUCGGAUAAGUUACAAAGUCGGAUGAUCUUUCGGGUCCCGGGUACGUAGCCCCUUCCUCGAUUCGAGUUUUCCACUCGGGUACACUAUUUAGAACACAUACCCAGUUUUUGAACCUAGAAUAACUUGACUUCAUGUUGGAUCCCUAGUAGGAACGCUUAUUUGUAUCAUGUCGCAUUUGACUUAGGGGACUCAACACAGGGGUUGGGUCCGUCUAGGACAGGUAACCUGAAAUGAAAAAGCGUUCCUUGACUUCUCGGGUACACUAUUUAGAACACAUACCUAGGUUUUGAACCUAGAAUAACUUGACUUCAUGCUGGAUCCCUAGUAGGAACGCUUAUUUUCAUCAUGUUGCAUUUGACUUAGGGAACCCAACAAAGGGUUGCAUCUUGAUGCAUCUUACGUGUUGCAUAUGCAUUUAUAUGUCACAGACUUGCAUGUUGACCGGCUUUGGAGUAUUUAGGAAAAUUGAAAAGUGAGAAAUGGCACUGCAAACAGUUAAUUAUCUGUAUUAGAAAAAAUAACGAAUGCUCAAAUAUUAUCGAAACUCUACAAAAAUUUUGAGAAAAUGAAAAACAAAAUAUUUUUAAAUAGGUUGUUUUACUCAAAAAGCAAAAAAAAAAGAAAGUAAAAUAGUCUUAUUUUUGGUUUUUCUUGUUUUCAGAAUAGUUUAUUUGCCAACGGAAAAGAAAAAUAUAUUAUUUUUUUGUCUGUUGAAAAAGAAAAAGAAAAAGUCUUUUGUUUUAGUUUGGGAAAAUAGAUUGUCUUAUUAUUUGUUGAAAAGAAAAGAAACAUAAAAAGAGUCUUUGUUUUAGUUUGAAAAAAUAGAUUUUUUUAUUUUUUUUAAAAUAAAAGAAAAAAAGAGUCUUUGUUUUAUUUCGUAAAAACAGGUUGUUUUGGAAAAGAAAAGAAAAGAGUCUUGUUUUCGUAAAAUAGUUCAUUUUCUUUGCCCGAACUACACAGGUUUAAUUCUCAUAGGGUGUAAGAUACGUAGAUAAUCCUAAUCAAAUUUGACCAUAACCAUAAGAGAAAAAACAAAAAGAGUGAGGGAAGAAAAUAAAGAAAAAUAGAGAAAGGAAACAACCAAGAAAAUCAUGGCAAAGGAAGUCAAAAUGAAAAAGAAAAGAAAAGAGAGAAACUGAGAAAAAGAGUGAAAAGAAAGAAAAAUAAAUAAGAGAAAACAAAGAACCAAAAGAAAGGAACAAUGGCAAAACAAGAAAAAAUGAUAGAAUAAGAACAAAAGAAAGCAAAGGCAAGAAGAAAAAAGAAAAAGAAAGAAGAGAAAAAGAAAAAGAAAAAUUGCAAUCGGGAAUAAAGAAAGCCGGAAUGACGCAAGCAGUCGAGCUAAUGCAUAAUAGAAAUUGUCAAUGGUAUAAGUGCAUUCAUACCCCAAACGUGCUAUUACCAAUGUCUUAAAUGCCCUAACACUAACAUGAUCGUUUCGUUUCAGCAUAUCAUUUCAGAAAGGUUGUUGGUUUGUGGUUCUAAAGUAACGCUUCCUUGCAACACAAAGGCAAAAGACAAUGGCAGAGAAUAACACAACUGAGUGGGUUGGUAUCGAUGCCCGAAAACAGCUGGUUGAACAGGAUAACGGGUUGGUAGAAGAGGUAAAAAUACUAAGACAGCAUGUGGAAGACAUGUAUCGAGCAUGGAUGACUGGGAAUGCACCACCCCCGCCACCGCCUAGCUACCUGGACUUUGUCCAUAUCCAAACACCGAACACAAUGCUGGAUGAUCUUCCAUACUCUCCAUAUCUACCCACUUAUAAUAGCUUUCCCAACAACUCAGGAGCUCCAUCAUUCAUCAUCCAACUAUUUGUUCACAAUUGUGUCAUUCGGUCACACCCACUAUUCUCGACAAUAAACACCUACCUAGAGCUCAUGAUGCCCAACAUUACCCCUCUGAAGUUACUCAUAAGGUUCCCAACUCACAUAAGAAAGGCCCGCAAGAUUAGCCUCGUGUUGAAAAUGAAAGGUUCACCGAAAGAGAAGGUACAAAUAGGGAAUCCAGGAAGCUGAAAGAACACGGGACAAAUAAGGAAUCCAGGAAGCUGAAAGAACCGUAUAUGACUCUUGAUAUUUGCCUACCCAUGGGGUUUAAAGUACCAAAAUUCAGAUUAUAUGAUGGGUUUGGAGAUCCAGUAGCUCACCUGAGGGGUUAUCAUAUGGAAAUGAGAAAUGUUGGAGGGAAAGAUAAGCUGCUAAUGGCAUAUUUCAGUGAGAGCCUAAUCGGGGAAGCUUUGGAAUGGCAUACUCAUCAGGGUUUCAGUAAGCUGCACACGUGGGAUUACAUAGUUCCAGAUUUUGUUUGAUACUUUCAAUGUAAGUCAGGAGUCACCCUAGACAAUUCCUCCAUAUCUAGAAUGGAAAGUAGCCGGAGGACACUUUUAGAGAGUUUGAGCUUAGAUGGAGGGAGAAAGCUGCUCGAGUCAAUUCCCUGAUUAGUGAAGAAGAGAUGAAUGAACUUUUCAUAUAAGCCCAGGGGCCCACCUACUUUAGUCUUUUGAUCACGGCCUUCAAAAAGCCUUUCAAUGAUGUGUUAAAAAUGGGGGAGUGAGUAGAAGAGGGGAUCAAGACGGCCAAUAUAAGGAGUGGCUCGAAAGACAUUCAGGACAUAUCAGUAAGCUCGGAAAGGAGAAAGAGAAAUAGAAAAGAUGAUCCAAAGGGCUACCUGAUCAACACUUCCAACCUCAGCAUCAUACCUGUCAGUAUCCGCGUGCACUGGAUGACCCUCCCCAACGUUACUUCUCUCCAUGGGACACCCAAGGACAUACUUCACUUUCCAAGUAACCAGCUCCACAAAAUGCCUACCCACCCCCAUGAGCAUACCAGAAACCCCCUGGUUCAGGUUUUAGGCCAAAUUAGGCAUUUAGGAAUGAGAUGUCCUGAAACGAGAAAAGACUCCCACCCCUAUUGGAGAAUCAUAUGCCAGUUUGUUCCAGAAGUUGAAGCAAUUGGGCAUGUUGAAGCCGAUUCAGAUAAAAAUUCCAAACCCUCUGUCAAAGAAAUGUGAUUUUUCUCUAAAGUGCGCAUAUUUGCACCGGGGCAUGACACGGAAGUGUUUGAAGUUGAAGAAAGAAAUUCAAGAGCUUAUUGACGUAGGUGACAUUGUCAUACACAAUUCAGAUGCAACUGAAACCAGCCAAAAUCCAUCACCUGCGCAUAAUGAGAUAGACAUAGUGGGUAUAUUUAUUUUGAAAAGAAAUGUGAAAAUUCUGUGAGAACCUCAAAGGCCCAAAAACAACUUGUUGAGGAUGAUGUGAUGAAUACUUGUGAAGUUCCUAGUGUUGGUGAUGCAGAAUUCAGUGGCUAAGAUGAUGUUCUUGGUAAUUGGAAAGACGCUCCAUUCCUAAGACAACCAGGGAGGAGCUUUGGUGGUACAUUUUGUUGUCAUUUUUGUUGUCCAGGUUAUUUGCAGGGUUGUAAUCAGGAUAUUAUCUUGUGAUCAAACUCUCUUAUCCUUUCAUUUUGUCUAGCUAAUUUAGCUGUAGUGGUUUCUUUAGUGUUGUCAGGGUUUGUUUCAGUUUCAUUCUAGGGUGUACUCCAAUUUGUUGUGCUUGCUUCGUUAUUCGAACUGUUUCAUCAUUUGUUUAAUGCAAAUUCCGAUCUUUUGUUACUUCCAGGCAUUUUUUUUUAUUUUUUUAUCCUUUUAUUUUGUCUUUUGUCUAAUGCUGGUUCUAGUGACAUGACAUGCACGCAUCAUUCCCAGUCUGAUCUUUAAAAGUUAGUCAGGAAGCGAUUAAAUCAUUUUGAAGAUAAUAGGGGCACUUGAGGGAAAUAAGAACAGAUUUGAAUAUUUUGAAAUUUUUUGAAGCCCAAACCAUGUAAAACUGGGGUAGAUAGAGCAUAAAGAAACUCUAAAGGAAGGUGUGCCAAAUUGAUAGAGGUCGUUCGCGGUAAUGAGAGUGAAAGUGUUGUCCAAUAUAUAUGGAAGGAAAAUAUGUAGAAAUGGACAUCAAUUUUGAUGCGGUCAAGAGAUACUAUGUAUAAUUUCUGUGUUUAAACGUAUUUAUUUGUAUUUGGCAUAUUUUGAGGAUUGAUAUGACAAAGGUAUUUUGUUCUGCUAUCCAAACACUUGAUCCCUUGUCACCCCUUUUGAGCCAUGUUUGUUUUAGUUCACACCCCUAUCUUGGAAUCAAUAGCACAAUUAAGAAAUUUUUCUUCUUGAAGAUGAAUACAUAAAGAGAAAAGGAAAGAAAGAAAAAGGAAGAAGGAAAAGAAAGAAAAGAAAAGAAAAAGAGAAAAGGAAAGAAAUAAAGAAAAAAGAAGAAGAAUGAAAAGAAAGAAAAUAAAAGAGGAAAGGAACAAAGAAUAAGGAGAAGAAAGAAAGGAAAAGAAAAGAAACUGAAAAGAAAAGAAGAACAAAAAAGAAAAUGAAGCGAAAAAAAUAAACAAAAAAAAGUAAACUCUAUGAUAUAAACUACGUUUGACUUGAUCCCGAAAGGGUACUUAUGCAGCUUUUCCCUGAGGUUCGGUCAUACAAAAAUAAAAAUCCAAAAAUUCCUAAGCAAGAAACUAGGGCAGAAGUUGUGGUUGUUGUGAAAGAUCUGAUUCUGAAAGUUGUAGUUUUUAACCCCAUUCUGAAUUGUAUUUGAGCCUUUAUACCAUUUCUUUCUAAACCUCAUCCAAAAUCCCACUACGGUCUAAAGAAAGCCCUUCAUAUCAGUCUUCGAGAAAUGUCAAGGCGAGCAAGUAGAGGGGAAUCAUAUCAAGGGCAACACUCCAGACCAAACAAGGAAAAUAAAAAUGAGAGAGCCGGAUUAAUGAAAAACCCUCACGGGUACUGCAAGACGAUGAAAGCUGAGAAAAAUAAAAUGAGAGAGUCUUAUUUGUGAAAACAUUCAUGGGAACCUUGAGGCGAUGGUAAGUUGAGAGAAAGAUCAAAAUGAGAGAGGCUUGAUGGUGAAAAUCAUUCGGGCACUAAAAAUCGAAUCAGAAAUGUAAAUUGGAUUGGAUAAGCGCAGCAUUGAACCCCAGUUUCACAUAAAAAAGGUGCAACAACAUCUGGACAUCAGGUUUGAUUGGCAGAAUAUUUACAGGUACUUGUCAUGUUCAUUAGAGUCGGUAUCCAAAUCUGAAAUGUUUCUCUAUAGGAAUCAUCUCUUUCCUUUGUCUUUCACUUCGUUCCUCUGUUUUUUUCAUUUCCUCUUUCUGAGUCUGUUUGAUCAUAACAAGCGAUAAAUGACUUCAAAAUUUUCCACCAGCUUUCCAAUUGCCCAAAAUAGGUCUAGCUAGCACAUCAAAGUGUCACAAGACAAUAAAAACAACAAAGAACAUUGCGCUGGUAAUAAUGAACAUACUUUGGGGAUCCUGGUAAAACACAAAGGUUUGGCAGAUAUCAGUUCAUGUUAAAUGCAACAUAUAGAAGGUACUGGAUUUGAACGAAUAAGCGGUAUUUUCUGCAAUAAGGAUAACAGAGAGAGUGGAAAGUUAGUAAGCAAGCAAUGAAGGUGAAAUCAAAAUUGUCAUGGAAAGAAAAAGAGCGAUAAAGCUCAAGGUCGAAAGGAUAGGGGUGUAAUUUAAGAAACAACAACCUACUAUGAGAGGCAAUGGAUGUGCUUUCAAAUUCCGGUGAGACACAAAGGUUGGGAAGACGCCACUUCAACAAAUAGAGGAUAUUGAGUCUAAACCGGGAAAAUGGGUAUUUUAUAUGAUGAGGACGACAGAAAAAGGGGUUGGUUCAUGAACAAGCAAGGUCUUCGAGUUGAAACCAGUCAUCAUGGCAAGUUCAGAAGAAAUAGUUGCAAAGUUCAAGGCCACAAACCAACCACCAUCUAAAACUGGCAAAAUUUUUUUUGGUUGAAACAGGGGCAGAAAAUUUGGUUGUUCCGGAGGAACUCUCCAUAAGGUAAAAACAACAAGUAAUCAGGUUCGAAUGCAAAGCGAUGUUUGAUCAAAAUACAAGAUAUUAAGAAAUAACAUAGGGGAAUGUAAGUUGGUCGCAAAGUUGGAAUAUUUAGGUUAAAAUUCAAGUACACGUUUUCAGGACCAUCCUGGAUAAUAGGAUGUAGUAGUUUAAAAUCCUUGUACAUGACAUGAUGUAGUGAGAAUAAUACUUUAAAAGAUAUAACUUAGGUUCGUAAUUGUUAGAAGUUGUCAGGACCUCCCUAGAUAAUAGGAUUUAGCUUUCAAAUUCUUAAUAAUAGUUGGUAUAUGAUUCAGUAACACUCACACGUGCGCCCAACUACCAAACAGGGGCAGAAAAUUUUCUUUAUUUUGAUAAAGUCAGGAACCUGCCUGGAUAGCAUGGGAAUACUUUCAAGUUUUGAAGUUAGGAGCCCGCCUGGACAGCAUGGGAAUACAUUUAAGAGCAGCGGUCAG
RNAcentral lists this long non-coding RNA (9707 nucleotides) under Nicotiana benthamiana. RNAcentral describes it as "long non-coding RNA (NBEN_LNC004893)". The record is from RNAcentral. Lineage: Eukaryota; Viridiplantae; Streptophyta; Magnoliopsida; Solanales; Solanaceae.